RNAcentral lists this ribosomal RNA (507 nucleotides) under Craspedochiton tesselatus. RNAcentral's name for it is "partial 16S ribosomal RNA". It matches the Rfam family "Bacterial large subunit ribosomal RNA", at positions 1816 to 2601 of the family's 2925-position model. Lineage: Eukaryota; Metazoa; Mollusca; Polyplacophora; Chitonida; Acanthochitonidae. The record is from RNAcentral.
UCGCUCUCUGUGACACAAAAAUAGGGAGUCGUGCCUGCCCAGUGAAUUUUUAAACGGCCGCAGUACCCUGACUGUGCAAAGGUAGCAUAAUCACUUGCUUUUUAAUUGAAAGCUAGAAUGAAUGGCUUGACGAAAACGUAUCUGUCUCUCUUAUAUUAACUAAAAACUAAUUUUUAGGUGAAGAAGCCUAAAUAAACUCAAAAGACGAAAAGACCCUGUCGAGCUUAAAAGUAUUUUUAAAUUAACUAUUUUAGAAAAAUUAUAUUAAAAUAAAUUUUUUGUUGGGGCGACAAAAGAACAAAAAAAGCUUCUUUUUAUUAAACUAACUGAUAAGUUAAAUUGAUCCAUUAUUAAUGAUAAAAAGAAAAGUUACCGCAGGGAUAACAGCGUAAUUUCUUUGGAAAGUCCAAAUUGAAGAAGAAGUUUGCGACCUCGAUGUUGGAUUAGAAAGUCUUUUUGGUGCAGCAGCUAAAAUAGAGGGUCUGUUCGACCCUUAAACUUCUACAU